AGGCAAGAAAUGUUAAUUAUCUAAAGGUGUUAAGAGAAGCAUGGUUCUCAUGGCUCCCGGUGUGCAGUGGCUGCAAACAGCAGCCUCUUGGGUAGUAUAUGCAGCCUGUUGCUUGUAUAGGCUGCCCUAAGGGACCCUGGAGACAGCC
Small nucleolar RNA from Erinaceus europaeus (western European hedgehog), 148 nucleotides. Its record names the gene SNORA70. It matches the Rfam family "Small nucleolar RNA SNORA70". Rfam says of the family: snoRNA U70 seems to be exclusive to mammals and is a member of the H/ACA class of snoRNA which contain H (ANANNA) and ACA box motifs. H/ACA box snoRNAs are involved in the conversion of uridines to pseudouridines (5-ribosyluracil) a constituent of structural RNAs (transfer, ribosomal, small nuclear, and small nucleolar). The record is from Ensembl. Lineage: Eukaryota; Metazoa; Chordata; Mammalia; Eulipotyphla; Erinaceidae.